GCUGGGCGUUGUGGUGGGUGCCUGUAGUCCCAGCUACUUGGGAGGCUGAGGUAGGAGGAUUGCUUGAGUCCAAAAGUUUGAGAUUGCUGUGAGCUGUGACACCAUGGCACUCUACCCAGGGUGACAGAGUGAGACCAUCUCAAAAAUAAAUAGAAAUUUUUUUUUUGAGACAGAGUCUCACUAUUUCACUCUUGGUAGAGUGCUGUGGCAUCACAGCUCACAGCAACCUCAAUCUCCUGGGCUCAAGUGAUUCUCUUGC
This 259-nucleotide small RNA is filed under the name Otolemur garnettii (small-eared galago). RNAcentral describes it as "Metazoan signal recognition particle RNA (ENSOGAG00000030395.1)". The record is from RNAcentral. Lineage: Eukaryota; Metazoa; Chordata; Mammalia; Primates; Galagidae.